UGAGGAAUCUUGCGCAAUGGGCGAAAGCCUGACGCAGCGACGCCGCGUGGAGGAUGAAGGUCUUCGGAUCGUAAACUCCUGUCGAGCGGGACGAAUCCCGGGAGGGUGAACAAUCCUUCCGGUUGACGGUACCGCUGGAGGAAGCCCCGGCUAACUCCGUGCCAGCAGCCGCGGUAAUACGGAGGGGGCCAGCGUUGUUCGGAAUCAUUGGGCGUAAAGGGCGCGUAGGCGGCCGAGCAAGUCGGACGUGAAAUCCCCCGGCUCAACUGGGGAACUGCAUCCGAAACUGCCUGGCUUGAGUCCUGGAGAGGGUAGUGGAAUUCCCAGUGUAGCGGUGAAAUGCGUAGAUACUGGGAGGAACACCGGUGGCGAAGGCGGCUACCUGGACAGGUACUGACGCUGAGGCGCGAAAGCUAGGGGAGCAAACAG
Molecule: ribosomal RNA, 429 nt
Filed under: uncultured bacterium
Lineage: Bacteria
Description: bacterial SSU rRNA
Rfam family: Bacterial small subunit ribosomal RNA
Source: RNAcentral